UCUUCAUUGGUCUAGUGGUCAUGAUUUCCGCUUGUCAUAGACGAGCACAUGUUGUCACAAGCGCGGGAGACCAGGGUUCGAUUCCCUGAUGGAGAG
Molecule: non-coding RNA, 96 nt
Organism: Teratosphaeriaceae sp. CCFEE 6253
Lineage: Eukaryota; Fungi; Ascomycota; Dothideomycetes; Mycosphaerellales; Teratosphaeriaceae
Source: the annotation of a GenBank genome assembly